ACCCUCGGGAGGGAUGUUUGGCCCCGCGGGAGGCGCGCCGGGCGCGGAGCGAGCUGUGGUGUGAGGUUGUGGUUGUUUUCUUCGAAACCGGAUGAAAGCAAUGGAAGUUGGUCCGUGGCUGGAGCAUGCACCAACAUGACCAAAAGAUGUCCCAAGAGCACGGUUUCUAGCAUGUUUUGCCGGAAGUUUGGGAUCUCACAGAGAUAGCCCUGUGUGGUGAAAGCCUCUAAGUAUGAGAAGGUCAUGUAGGAAGAAGCCACCAAGUGCUGAUUGCACAGCUGAAGAAUUGUUAGGAGCAGCCUGAGAGCAAUGCCUGUCUAUUGAAACACUCCUCCUUAUUUAAAAGAUGGACUAUUAAGCCUCUGUGUAGUAAGACAAAGUGCAUUUAACUGCAUUGUGGCAGUGUCUGGUAAUGUUUAUAUAGACAAAAAUUAAAUAUUUAUGUUUCUGUUCUCAGAUUUCUGUCUUUUUCAAGCUUUAGUAACAAUUGCUUCUGUUUCAGAGUUCAGACUUCCUUGUGUUAUUGCUGAGAUACCAGUGCACCCCUUUGGAUGAAACAAAGCCUAGGAGUGAGCUGGGAUGAGAUGACUUAAAUCAUAGUCUCCUGUAGUAUGUGGAGAUAGGGUUGGCUGAGAUGUGUAUUUGUAGUGAGCCAAAGUAGAAAUUUAAAAAAGUAGAAGUUCAGCAAACCUGGCUUUAAAAAUAGCAUGAAAGGUGUUUAUUCAACAUGGAGAAUGGCAAGCUUGGUUUAUUAUCACCUUGACCAGCUAUGUCAUGUGGUACUUCAGCAUAACUUGGAGUGAAAGGCUCUUAAGAUUGGGAUUGCUGUUUAUUUUACUAGGAAAACUUAACAUGUUUUAUCAGAAGAACAAAUAUUUAAAUUGUGUAUCUUGCAAUGUGUGAUUUUUCAGUGCUGAAUGUAAGCAUAUUUCUAAUUCUAAGUGUAAGGUUGUUUUUAAUUUGUCAAGCAAGAAGGUUUAGACAAGAGUAAUUAAUUUUUAGAGAUCCAGCUUGUAAUUGUGGGAUGUACUUGAAAGUUUAGGGGUUUUAUUAGGGAUUACGUUCCCUGAAGAUACCAUCUGUUCAGAAGUUCUGCUCAUGGGCCUUUGUUCUUGAAGUGUAAGACCCAACAGAAGUAGCUUUUUUAAACUCAAAAAAAAAAAUCUCAAGAGCAACAGCUAGUGACAGGACUUGAUGAUUGGUAUCUAAAAGGAUAAUUACCUUUCAACCAAAAAUAUGUAUAACCCUCAGCUUUAAUGUGAAAUACAGGUGUUAUAGUGGGGUAGAGCAAGAGAAGUGAGGUAGAGGGAGCAGUAGGUGGCAUGCAAGCAUCACAGAUUACUUAAAUAAUAACGUUGUUAAAUGUGAAGUAUGAUGUUAAACAUUAGGACUGCCUUUUAUUUUGUAUGACUGGUUAACUGAAUUGCACCUUUAAAAAAACAGACUAGUGAGAAUCUGCUCAGCAAUAAAAUCUGAAGAGAAAGGAUAAGGAAUUUGUAUUCUGGAACAAGUUACUACAUGUACUGAAGCUCUACUUUGCAGGAGCUGGAUGCAGACCAUGUGCUCCUGGGAAGUAGAAAAGUAAAUCUUUUGGAGUUUGGGUUUUUUUUUGCUUUUGCUUCUGCUUUGUUAAACUCCUUUAUCUUGACCCACAAGGAUUUUUUCUGUAUAAUUCCCUUGCCCAUCCUGUUAAGGAGGGGAGUGAUAGAGCAGCUUGGUGGGCACCUGGUGUCCAGCCAAAGUCACCAUACCACAGCUCUUAUUCAGGAGAACAAAUACAGGAAAACAAGAGGCACAUUCAGGACACAGUGUCUGCCACACUGGCUCUGUAUCUGUGUGUUUGCUUUGACAGCUUACACAGUCUGUUGUUGCUCUCUGGUGAUUUUUAGGUGAGAAAGGAAACUGGUAUAGAUGUGCACUGGAAAUGCAAAGCUUACACUGACAACUUCCUGCUACAAGAUAAAAUACUUAAUCAUGGAGAAGCUGUAUCCUCAAGUGGAUUUUAAUUGGUACUACACCUGUUUUUACCAGAUGGUGGUGUCAAAUGAAUCUGUGUUUCUGAAGGCUUUGCUCCUUAGUGUAAUGUAAAUAAAGACACACAGGCAACCAUGCAAUGCCCUAAAAAAUUCAAGUUUUACUUGACUUUUAAAUAACCUGGAUACAAGUAUUGACACAGCCAUCUAUCAAAUUCAUUUUAAAAUAAAGCACACAGUUGCUUCAUGGAUACCUAAUGUACAUGGAACAAAUGUAUGACAUUGUUAUAUUCAAGUCUGUUGUCGUCAAACACCUUUCUAGGGAGUUCUGAAUUAAACAAAUCUUCCCAAAAGAAAACAUGCUAUCUCUUCCAGUCAAUAUCCACCUGUAUAAAGAGAAUGAAUUUGGCAACUUAAAUGGUAAUGACUUUGUAACAAACAUCAUCAAUAUCAUGAGCUUGGUUAGAAUACAAGUUGCAGAGUUAGUGAUACUGGUAAGGGGUGCAGUGUAGAAAAUAGCAGGUCCAGGCUAGUUCCAAAAGGAAAGAAACCAGCCAACUAAGCAAGGGAACCAGUACAAGAUAUACAACAGUGCUUUUGUGCUGUGGUUAGUAAGCCCUCUUUAUUGUAUAAAAUACAUGUUUUGCAAAAGGUUGUACAAAUAUGUUGUAAUUGUUGCUAAUAUAGUGAGAGUUCUGUAACUUACCAAUGCUUAGCACUUACAGAAGUCUCAUAAGAGGUAAAGGCAGAGGCCACAGUUUAAAAUCAUUGGCCUGAGAUCAAUUCAGGAGAACUAGGAUGAGAGUGUCUCAAUACCAGUCCUUUGUCCAAGUGAGCAGGGGUCUAUAUGGCAUUCAACCCCAGAGUAAGCUUCCUGACACUGUUCCCACACCUCAUGUCUUUUGUCUGAUUCAUCAGGAUGUAGAAUUUUAGACUGAAAUCCAGCCUCCAGAUCUGAAAAUGCAGCUGCCUGUAGGCAGUGAAUGCCUCAGGAGAGCUGGGGAAGGGUAGCAACAGUGGAGAGGGCAAGGUGUAGCUCAGAGGUGUAAGAGGCUGGUCACUUAGACACAUAGAGCUGGUUCAGGUGUGGAAGGCAUAGUUGUGACACGAUAAGUGUUUUCAGUGAUUGAUCACUUGUGUGUAUCUCUCACAAAAAUACCAUAAAGAAGGUGCUUUUCCUCAAAUGAUUGAGGAAAAAGAAACUUUGAAGGAAGGAGUUCACAUAUAAGAAAGAAAUUUGCUUUUCUGACAGUGAUAUCCUUGUUGCAAGUUUUGCCUUGUUUUGGCACAGCAAAACAUUUGGAAAACAUGUAAUAGAGGCGUUACAUCUUUAGUCUUUUGUGGACACAAAACUGGAUUUGUAGUGGCCCAGACUAAAAAACCUUGCUAAAAACCUGCUUCCUACAUAGUCUUACCAGGGAGAGACUCAAAUCUAGCGCUCUCUCCGUAAACUUCUCAUCUAAAUGCAAAAAAGUUGGCUUGAUUAUGAAAACAACUCUCCAAUGACUUGAGAAUUUUAACCUUUCACUACUAGACUAGACAGAAGCUAUUUUCUGAAGUAAUGCAGUAAGUAAAAUACAAUGCACUUUGCUGAUGGUAUCCCAGCAAUAACGCACAAAAGGCCUGCAGGAAGAUGAAAGCAUAAAGGAAAACGUGAGGUUGGAUAUAAACUUCUUGAUCAAUAUUUAAAGACUGGCAAGAUAGGUAAACUAUGGACAGAUAAUUCUCAAAUAAUAACACAAAUCCUCCUGCAGUAGUAGAUAUGUACUACUUACCUGUGCCUGAGUAAGGUUAGCAAACUAAUGGUAAUGAUUAGAAAAGCAGCAAACUAUAAGCAAGUGUAUAAUGCUCCAAGCUGGAAUACUGUCUCAAAGGAACAAGGAGUGACUGUCAUUCCUGACAGUAACCAGUUCUUGUAUAGUUUGUAAUUUUUCAGUUAUAUUCCAGAAGACUGUGAUGCUCUCCUUUAAGCCAUUUUGCCGUGGUGAUUUUUUUUUGUCCUAGGGGUUGUUUCAGGUUUUUUUUGUUGUGGUUUGGGUUUGGAAUUUUUUUUCAUUUUGGUUUUGGCUUUUUUGACUGUUGUUCUCGACAAUACUACACAAGGUCAUAAACAGAUCCUAAAGAAUCAUUUUAAAUUGGAACAAUGACAAUGAGGCAAUUUAACAAACUUUAAAGGCUGAGCAAAUACUUUAAGCCAAGCUCAACAAUGUCCUAGAAUUAAAUCCACAGGAAAUUUUAAAAGUUCUAAAGAACCUCCAUGAAAACUGAAUUUUUACUACAGAGGAGUUCUUGCUCUUAGAUUUGUUCACUGAGACUGUAGAAGCAGAGCCGUCACAAGUAAAUUAUCAAAGAAAAGUAUUUGUUAAGUGAUUCUGCCUUUCCUGCAGCAUUUCCCAACGUAAAGACCACUCCAUACUGUGAUAGGAAUAUUGAAACUGUAUGGCUGCCACCCUGGCUAGUAGUGUCCACCCUGACCACCACAGAUAAUAAAACAAUGAAGAAUCAAAAAUAAAGUGAAAAAUAAAACACAUUGUACAACAUUUUGCUUACCAGUGUAGUCAGUUAAAAUGUGUAUUAGUAAUCCCAUGCCUCUUGUAAGGUGUAACUUAAACACUUUAUGCUAACUUCAGCUCUCAAACAGUGUUGCUUUUCUGACAGGGCUGCAGUUCCCUGGUGUGGCUUGGACUGGAAGACACAGGAUCACUGCAAAUCUCUGUGGGUUGUGAGGAUUGAGUGUAGAGGGUACAGAUGUAGAAAGGCACGUGAGCUGCUACAGCUGUUUGCCACACUGUUUGACAAAUUCAGUACUUAGUUCAAUGAUUACACUUAGCUACAAAUUACUUCCACAACACAAACACUUUGCUAAGCUCCCUAGCAAGUCAGCAACACCUGAAGGUUCAUCCAUGUGCUGACUCUGGACAAAUGGGAGGCAGAGAAGUGAUUUUUAGAUAUUUGUAAGAAGUGGUAGGGACAAGAGGAAAGCUAGGCAUCACUUCAGAUACAUAUUAGAAGAUAACUCAGUCAAUAAUCAUUAAAACUUUAGUAUUAAUCAUUAUCAUUAAAACUUAGUGCAGCAUCAUUAAAACUUAGUAUUCCUACCACGACAAUAGAAAAAAAACUAUAGUUCUCAUACCUGAAAUACUGCCUUUGACAUUUUAACAUAGUAGAAAUGGCUCAGAGAAAAGUGUCAGAUUAUUUUAUAUGAGAUAUUAAGACAGAUUUGCUAAUCUAGAUUUAAAAAAAGAAAAAAAAAAAGCGCUAUUUCUAGCUGUUUUAAAUAUUACUCCACAAGUUUCAUUUAACCAGCACUGAAGUGCCUUUGUUAAGCAGUCUUAACACAGUGGGGUCAAUUAUAUAUUCCCCUGUCUCCAGUGUGCUUUACUACAAGUUGGUAAAUGUAUUUCAGUGGUAUAGAAUGUUAUUUAAAUAGUCCCUCUACACAAAAGGACAUUCCAAAAUUUAGAACACUUAAACCUGCCCAAAGCAAGUCAGUAUCGCCUCUGGGAACACACUGCUACAGCAUGUUAUAGUCUAUUGUUUUUUGAGCUAAAAUGGGUUGAGUCAGAAUUUGUAUCAACAACACAAGCAUCUAUUACUGGUGCUAGGUUUAAAUAACCCUUGUAAGAGCUAUCUGUCCUUAUGUCUCAGAACAUAAGUUGAUUCCCCAUAUAAAUUGUGAAGAUAAUUUCCCCAUAUCACACUGUAAUUGCACAAUUGACCAAAAUAUGACUAUUUUUACUUAUCUUGAAGCAUCUGAUGCUGAAUCAUGUCAGUUAACAGUUACUUCUUGGAACAAGGCCUUAUUCAGUUACAGAGCAGACCAUGAAGCCUGUUUUGUUGCAGCAAUUUUUUUGCUGUUGUUCAUUUUUGGAAAUAUAACUGCUGCGUCAGUUUUGCAAAAACUUUCUGGUUUUGGUUGUCUAUCAGGCAAAGCUUGUCCUCAAUCAGUCACACCACUAGAAUGGUGUUGGUGAUAAAACCAUUGCUGGUCUUCCCAGCAAGCGCAGGCUGUACUGCCAGGUGUCCUGAAGGAAAGACCACCACGUCGACUUCAGUUUCCUUCCCUUGCGUACAUAAACAAAUUCUUACUUUCCAAAGACCAAAAUCCAUCACCAUCUUCAAUUCAUCAGUCAAGUUUCCACCUUGAAGCGUGACACCUGUACAGUUUUUACAAAUCUUUAGUGUUGGGUUUUCCAUCAACAUUAUUAGUGGAUAGCAGAGGUGUUUCUUCUAUUAGGCCGUCCUUGGAUCCAUUCUGCUCUGAAGAGAAUAAAUUUAAAUAUGUUGUUGAAAAGAUACAGCAGAAUUGCAACACUAUUUUGCUAACUUUGCUAUGAAGCCUUAGGUUAUGGGGUAUGGCAAUUCAUAUAUGCAUAUAUCUACACUAAUUAGGAAUAUUAAAGUCCCUACAUUUAUUUGAUCAAACAGAACUUUUUUCCCUUCUUGCCUCCUCCCAGCUGCUGCCCCCUUCUGUGCUAUUGCCUAAUUCAGGAAAUGCCAUGAUUAAUUAUUUGAUAUUUAGCAAAAAACAGCAAGCAAACACUCACAAGAAGUUAAUGGCCACUGUCAUAAGGGAGCCUGGGACAGAGGGAAAGAGAGGUGUUGGUAGACACUCAACAUUUUAACAUUACUGUAUGGUAAGUUAGGUGCCUGGAAUUCUCCCUUCCGUGUUUUGGUUCUUCCCGUUUUGUGUUUGUACAAAGACCUGUGAGUGCUUUUGAAUAGAAUUUGUUUCUC
Taeniopygia guttata (zebra finch) is the source of this 6710-nucleotide long non-coding RNA. Lineage: Eukaryota; Metazoa; Chordata; Aves; Passeriformes; Estrildidae. The record is from Ensembl.